GUCCCUAUAGCGCAAUGGAUAGCGCGUUGGACUUCUAAUCCAAAGGUCAUGGGUUUGAAUCCCACCUGGGAUG
RNAcentral lists this transfer RNA (73 nucleotides) under Trichonephila inaurata madagascariensis. It matches the Rfam family "tRNA". Rfam says of the family: Transfer RNA (tRNA) molecules are approximately 80 nucleotides in length. Their secondary structure includes four short double-helical elements and three loops (D, anti-codon, and T loops). Lineage: Eukaryota; Metazoa; Arthropoda; Arachnida; Araneae; Nephilidae. The record is from Rfam by way of RNAcentral.